Molecule: transfer RNA, 76 nt
Filed under: Candidatus Berkelbacteria bacterium
Lineage: Bacteria; Candidatus Berkelbacteria
Description: tRNA-Ile
Rfam family: tRNA
About the family: Transfer RNA (tRNA) molecules are approximately 80 nucleotides in length. Their secondary structure includes four short double-helical elements and three loops (D, anti-codon, and T loops).
Source: RNAcentral
GGGCGUGUAGCUCAGUGGUUAGAGCACGUCACUGAUAAUGACGGGGUCGAAGGUUCGAUUCCUUCCACGCCCACCA